Long non-coding RNA from Cynara cardunculus var. scolymus (artichoke), 918 nucleotides. RefSeq lists it as uncharacterized. The record is from RefSeq and is a predicted model, not a curated record. Lineage: Eukaryota; Viridiplantae; Streptophyta; Magnoliopsida; Asterales; Asteraceae. The transcript is spliced from 2 exons.
GAAUAGGAAAUCUACACCAGAUCUUCUGACAAACUGUGAUGUUAAAUCCUUACUGAUAGUUUUGCUCAUCUAAUGCCUUGUUUGCUGAAUCCUAGCUAAGGACCUCUUUGCCACCUGGUGAAUUACUGGGGGUGCAUUAGUAGGUGUGUGGAAGAACCCCUCCUCUCCCUUGGUUUACUCAUCUUUGGGUGAGGUUUUUCUUAUCUUUCAAGAAGAUGAAAUAAAGGAAAAAUAAACCAAGUAUAAGCUGCAUCUACUAGGUAAAAAUGUUGCCUAAAUCUUCUUUUUGUUUCAGAACUUCCACUGUAUCUUUUAUUGGGUAUCUUUUGUGGCCUGGUUUCAUUGAGCUUUUCUUGGUGCACAUCGUUGAUGAUGGUGGUAACUGACAAGAUUCAGAAGACCUUUGUUAUGCCAAAGGCAGUUUUCCCUGUAGUUGGUGGUUUUACUGUUGGACCUCUAGCCUUGAUAUAUCCUGAAGUUCUGUAYUGGGGUUUCGAGAAUGUUGACACCCUCUUAGAGUCUCGACCAUUAGUGAAAGGCCUCUCUGUUGAUCUAUUAUUGCAGCUAAUAGCAAUCAAAAUAGCAGCAACGUCUUUUUGUCGUGCAUGUGGAUUAGUAGGAGGCUACUAUGCUCCAUCACUUUUUAUUGGUGCAGCUGCAAGAAUGGCGUAUGGAAGACUUACUAGUUUUAUGAUUUCUCAACUCAAUUCAAUCUUUCAUCUCUCAGGCAUAGAGGUUGCACCACCGCAAGCAUAUGGCCUGGUAUAUAUCUUUUGUUACUAUAUGAUAAGAGAAAGAUAAUAAUAAAAAAUUAUGCUUGCUGUUUCUGGAUAAUUUCUACUUCAUUGUGCUUGCUGUUUCUGGAUUAUGUUGUCAUUUGUUGUUUGGAUGGAUCAUCUAUUAACCACUGUAUUUUAC